GCCCCCCUCCCAUUUCCUCCUCCCUCAAACCAUUGCAGCCACACCACCCUAAACCCUAGCCCCCCCCCUCUCUCCAAGGUGAAGCCCUCCCGCGUGGUUCUUCGUCGUGUGGCGAUCUCAAUUGGAGUUUGGAGGGAGGAAGAAGGAAGGAGGAAGGGAAGAAUCCAAGGUGAUUUUUGUGUUUAUCUCUUGUUCAUUUGUGCUGCAAUCCAAUUGAUUAGAUGUUGCGUAUGCGAUUUGGUAGAAGGGUUGUCCAGAAUUUUAGGGGGUGGACGAACAGCAGCAGUAUUAGUGGUUUCUGGGCAUUUUUCAUGGGAAAUUAAUGGGAAUCAGUUUGGGAAUCAUGUAGAACUUUGGAAUACCUUUCCAAAGAGUAUUUAUGCGCUCAAUUUGGAGUUAUAAAUUAAAAGAUAUCACCAUUUGAAUCCGGGUAUGUGGCUGUCCAAAAAAACAGAUUUUCAGGUGGACGAACAGCAGCAGUAUUAGCAGUUUCUGGGGAUUUUUCGUGAGUAAUUAGUGUUAAUCAGUAUGAGAAUCAUGUAGGGAUUUUUCUUACCUUUCCAACAAGUACUUAUGCGCUCGAUUCGGAAUUAUAUUUUAAAAGUUAUCACUGUUUGAAUCCGAGUAUGUCGCUGCCCAAAAGAGAAAAAAUAGAUUGCAGGGUUUAUCUUGUGGACCGUUUUGGGGUAGUUAGAUGUUGGAAUUUAAUCAUAAAUUUUAUACAAAACUUAUGGGGAAUUUUAUGUAGUUGUCUCUCGAGUUUUUGUUUGUCAUCACUGCUAUCUGAAUUUUAAAAUUAUGAAAUUGUUAAGCAGCGCCGCUGCAGUUUGGUGGGUGUGGGGAGAAUUGUUACCCACGACGGGGUUUGAGACUGCGCGUAGGUGCGGCGUUGUUUUUGAGGCUUAUUAUGUGAAUUUGGUGCACUAAGUUUGGUGUCAAAAAUAGGUGGUGGACUUCCGGAUCGUACUUAGCGAUUUGCCCAAACUUCCGGUGAAGGCAAGUAAAACAGUGAUGGUUAAUCCGUCUGUCGAAUGAAGAGUCUUAUACUUGAUUAUGUUGUGCUAUUGUGUUCGUAUUCAUAUUUAUAAUUGAGUACCAUCAUUUGAAGAUAUUCGUAUUUUAUUGAUUACAUAUGUUGAGUUUGUGGUUUGAUCACGUUACUCAAGUGGUUAUUAUAUGGAAUGGGUGGAAGUAUAUGUCUAGCAUAUUUUAUUUGGGAAGAACUCAUGUUGUUGUCAUGCAUAAUGCAUUCAUUAUUCAUUGCAUGGAAGUUCGUCGUGAUCUUAUGGUCCGACCGUACCGGUACAUUGAGCAUCAUAUGUGACCCGAGAAGGGGUAUGAUGCAGCUUCAUAUCCUCAGAGAUAUGAAGGCAGAAGUCAUUACUGCAUCUGUAGCCAUGUGCAUUCAUGGGAGAGGUGUGGAAUUUAUUAUGUGGAUGUGGAUAGUGUGGAUUUUUACAUUGUGAUUCUUCUUGGCGUUAAGUAAUUAGUUACUUGCUUACUUGCUGCAAAUUAUUAUUCAAGAAGGAAGUUUUGAACUACGUGGUUGUUUAAGCACAGUUGGAUUACAUUGUCCAAUUGUGGUUUGCUCUGUUUACUUGCUGAGAUGUGUCAUCUCACUCUUGCAUUGUUUAAUGCAGGCACCUCAUUUCUGCUUUGGGAAAAGAGGGAUGUAGCAGCACGGCCACUACACCUUUAAUAAAGGAACCACUGCUUAAUAAUGUUGUUAAUCAGGGAGGGUCAAGUCUAGGGAAUUAAUAUGUUCUAGCUUUUCAUGGUGGUUGAGCUGUUUUUGGGGGUGGGCUGAGUUACCUAUCCUUUUAUUUAGUCAUGAAUGUGUUUCACCACUUUUGCAUUUAGAUUCUACUACGUGAAUUAUCUGUCUUUUA
RNAcentral lists this long non-coding RNA (1889 nucleotides) under Zea mays. RNAcentral describes it as "long non-coding RNA (ZMAY_LNC004170)". The record is from RNAcentral. Lineage: Eukaryota; Viridiplantae; Streptophyta; Magnoliopsida; Poales; Poaceae.